GCUAGCGGCAGGCUUAACACAUGCAAGUCGAACGGUAACAUUCCCGCUUGCGGGAGAUGACGAGUGGCGCACGGGUGCGUAACGCGUAUGCAACCUACCUUCAACAAAGGAAUAGCCCAGAGAAAUUUGGAUUAAUACCUUAUAAUAUUUUCAGUUCGAUUGAACUGAUUCUUAAAGAUUUAUCGGUUGAAGAUGGGCAUGCGUGACAUUAGCUAGAUGGUAAGGUAACGGCUUACCAUGGCGACGAUGUCUAGGGGUUCUGAGAGGAAGAUCCCCCACACUGGUACUGAGACACGGACCAGACUCCUACGGGAGGCAGCAGUGAGGAAUAUUGGACAAUGGGCGCAAGCCUGAUCCAGCCAUGCCGCGUGAAGGAUGACUGCCCUAUGGGUUGUAAACUUCUUUUAUAGAGGAAGAAACCUUUCUACGUGUAGAAAGCUGACGGUACUCUACGAAUAAGGACCGGCUAACUCCGUGCCAGCAGCCGCGGUAAUACGGAGGGUCCAAGCGUUAUCCGGAUUUAUUGGGUUUAAAGGGUCCGUAGGCGGGAUUUUAAGUCAGUGGUGAAAGCCUACAGCUCAACUGUAGAACUGCCAUUGAAACUGGAAUUCUUGAAUGUGAUUGAAGUGGGCGGAAUAUGUCAUGUAGCGGUGAAAUGCUUAGAUAUGACAUAGAACACCGAUAGCGAAGGCAGCUCACUAAGUCAUGAUUGACGCUGAUGGACGAAAGCGUGGGGAGCGAACAGGAUUAGAUACCCUGGUAGUCCACGCCGUAAACGAUGAUUACUAGCUAUUGGCGAUACACAGUCAGUGGCAUAGCGAAAGUGUUAAGUAAUCCACCUGGGGAGUACG
RNAcentral lists this ribosomal RNA (851 nucleotides) under uncultured bacterium. RNAcentral's name for it is "bacterial SSU rRNA". It matches the Rfam family "Bacterial small subunit ribosomal RNA", at positions 35 to 884 of the family's 1533-position model. The record is from RNAcentral.